ACUCAUUUAGCUCAGUUGGUAGAGAGCAAGGCUCAUAAACUUGUGGUUGUGGGUUCGAGCCCCACGUUGGAUG
Molecule: transfer RNA, 73 nt
Filed under: Zea mays
Lineage: Eukaryota; Viridiplantae; Streptophyta; Magnoliopsida; Poales; Poaceae
Rfam family: tRNA
About the family: Transfer RNA (tRNA) molecules are approximately 80 nucleotides in length. Their secondary structure includes four short double-helical elements and three loops (D, anti-codon, and T loops).
Source: Rfam by way of RNAcentral